RNAcentral lists this ribosomal RNA (253 nucleotides) under uncultured bacterium. Its description in RNAcentral is "partial 16S ribosomal RNA". It matches the Rfam family "Bacterial small subunit ribosomal RNA", at positions 524 to 776 of the family's 1533-position model. The record is from RNAcentral.
AACGUAGGUGGCGAGCGUUAUCCGGAUUUACUGGGCGUAAAGCGUGUGCAGGUGGCCUGUUAAGUGGUGUAUGAAAUCGCCCGGCUCAACCGGGCGGGGCUAUGCCAGACUGGCAGGCUAGAGGGUGGGAGAGGGAUGUGGAAUUCCGGGUGUAGUGGUGAAAUGCGUAGAGAUCCGGAGGAACCCCAGAGGCGAAGGCGGCAUCCUGGCCCACGACUGACACUCAGACACGACAGCAUGGGGAGCGAAUGGG